CUGGAGCACAGGGCUUGCUGUCCUCAGCCCUGCAGCAGCAGUGUUUCCUACUUUAUGGAUGAGUGUACUGUGGGCUUCGGAGACCACGCCACCGCCACCACCACCAUCUUCCUCGACUCUCGGGACCAUGUAUGACAGGUGAGCACCUCACGACUUUUGCCACCUGCCCAGACCCCUGAAAAGCUUCCACUGCCGCCACAGUGCUGCCCUUCCUGGUUCCGGUCCAUCCGGGAAAAGGCCACAGCAGCCCCUCUGCUGCCUGGAGCCUGGGGGUGCGGGGAGGGCUGGACACAUGGACUCCCGAUGCAGCAGCUGCAAGCAGAGGAGGAAGGCUGGCAAGGGAGGGUAGGUGGCGGGGAAUGGGUGGCGGUGCCAGGGACCCCAACACUAAUAAAGAAUGGACUCUG
Long non-coding RNA from Lemur catta (Ring-tailed lemur), 407 nucleotides. RefSeq lists it as uncharacterized. NCBI's taxonomy places the organism in Eukaryota, Metazoa, Chordata, Mammalia, Primates, Lemuridae. The record is from RefSeq and is a predicted model, not a curated record. The transcript has 2 exons.